CUGCUGCCUCCCGUAGGAGUUUGGGCCGUGUCUCAGUCCCAAUGUGGCCGUCCACCCUCUCAGGCCGGCUACUGAUCGUCGCCUUGGUGGGCCUUUACCCCGCCAACCAGCUAAUCAGACGCGGGUCCAUCUUGCACCACCGGAGUUUUUCACACUGUCCCAUGCGGGACCGUGCGCUUAUGCGGUAUUAGCACCUAUUUCUAAGUGUUAUCCCCCAGUUGCCAAGGCAGGUUACCCACGCGUUACUCACCCGUCCGCCACUAAG
Molecule: ribosomal RNA, 265 nt
Filed under: uncultured bacterium
Lineage: Bacteria
Description: partial 16S ribosomal RNA
Source: RNAcentral